GACGGAGGAGCCAAGCGUUGUCCGGAUUGACUGGGCGUAAAGCGCACGCAGGCGGUCGCGCGCGUGGGGUGUGAAAUCUGGCCGCUUAACGGCCAGGCGCCAUCCCAUACGGCGCGACUGGAGUGAUGCAGAGGUCGAUGGAAUUGCCGGUGUAGUGGUGAAAUGCGUAGAGAUCGGCAGGAACACCCAGGGGGAAACCAGUCGACUGGGCAUCUACUGACGCUGAGGUGCGAGAGCGUGGGGAGCGAACCGG
RNAcentral lists this ribosomal RNA (253 nucleotides) under uncultured bacterium. Its description in RNAcentral is "partial 16S ribosomal RNA". It matches the Rfam family "Bacterial small subunit ribosomal RNA", at positions 524 to 776 of the family's 1533-position model. The record is from RNAcentral.